This 31-nucleotide non-coding RNA is filed under the name Mus musculus (house mouse). Lineage: Eukaryota; Metazoa; Chordata; Mammalia; Rodentia; Muridae. The record is from RNAcentral.
UCAAAGCACAGGUCCCUCCAGCCGUCACUCC